Molecule: non-coding RNA, 29307 nt
Organism: Oncorhynchus mykiss (rainbow trout)
Lineage: Eukaryota; Metazoa; Chordata; Actinopteri; Salmoniformes; Salmonidae
Source: RefSeq, a predicted model, not a curated record
AGAAAUUAGGUACAUAUAUGGAUAAAUAUAUUGUCCUAUAUAAUGGCAUUUGCCAUUCUGGUAAGGUACAUUGUCUAUUGUAUAGGACAGGAAGCCAGAGUGGGGCCAUGGGAGAGGGCAACACCUAGGGCAGCUGGACAUGCAAAGGUCAGAGGUUAUCUAAGGAGGGGGUCAGCCAAAGUACCAAUUGAUGGAUUACAGACAUCAAUCACAUCACAGGAGACAAGUCUGUUUGAUCUUAGACAACCAUAUGAAGAGAAGGCGACCAGAACAGCUAGGCACCCUAAAGCUAAAGGAGAUGAAAGACACCAAAAGGGACACAUGGAGUUAAUUACAGGGUAUGAACACAGGCCACAGGAAAGGGGAAUGUAUAGUAUUUUUAGUAUAGCUGAGCAUGCUAAAAACAGAAGAGACACAUAGUGUGCUGACCCUAGAUAACACACAAACAGGAGAACGCAUUAAGCUGAGUGAAGGGUCAAAGCAAGGGUCUUGUCACCAUUAGGAUCUAAUGGAAAGCAGAUGGGGGUGUUAUUGGGCUGAACAAGCAGGAAGCACGGAUUGGGAUGUAACUUAAUUUGCAUAUGGGAGGGACUUAUAUGGUAGGUGUAUAACUCAGAGCGAGGGCUCUGAAAAAGUGUGUGUGUUCCGCGGACCGCUCUGGCUUAUGAUACUGUUGUAUUAAAAGUCUAUAUUGAUUUUCACAAAGUUCUUGGUUGUGUCAUAUUUGAACCGAUUUGCCACUACAUAAUUGGCGAGCUUGCCAGGAGAAUUAGGGACUGAAUAACGUUCUUGGCUGGCAGCGGGAUCUUUGGACGAUCUGGGCAAACAAGGGUGGCCACCCAGCUAAGGUAAGACAACAGUGAAAUGUUUGCGUAGAUCGCUUCAGAGAUCCUGCCUCAGCAAGAGGAGCGUCAAGUAGGUCUCUCUCUCUCAAAUUUCCUAAAAACUAUAGAAACGAAAGAACUUUUUGAAAUUCAAUGAAUUUGCAUGCAUGUGUGUAAGCUUGGAAAUUGUAUAAUGAAUGUGCAUGCAUGUCUAGUGAGUAAGUAGGUGGGGGCUGUGAACUUCGCUGGUGUAGGGUGUGUUAUUCUGGCAUGUUGGGGCUGGGAUUGGGCACAGGGUUACAGCUAUCUGCUUAUAAGGUUUGAAUAAAAUAAGUAGUUAUAGAAGUCCUGCGAUACCGCUUCAAAAUAUUUACCAGAAGGUCUGAAUGGGUAGGUUACUUUAUUGAUAAGUAAUCCUGCGAUACCGCUUCAAAAUAUUUAGCUGAAGGACUGAAUGGGUAGGCUACUUUAUUGAUAAGUAGAUAGAUAAACAUUCAUGGCUACCGCUUCAAGGAAAAGGUCUGUACGGAUGAGUAUUUAGAAAAUAAAUACACAUGGCUACCGCUUUGAAAUGAAGGUCUGUACGGGUGAAUAUUUAAAACACAGAAAGAACGCUGGCCUGAUUGUGCGACGUUCAACUGAAAAAGGAAAUCCUGCGAAUAUAAAACGCUCCGUCUAGCUAAACGGGGGUUUAUAAAUCAGUAGGUCGCGCCACGAUAUUGCUCUAACGUAGAAUAAAGAUCAAUACGGGGUGGAUGAAUAGGAUAUGAAGACAAGCUGAUCCGAUUAGACAGUAGUCUCGUCAUGUCGUAAAAAUCCUAUAGGAUAAUACCAGUUUAUGUAGAGGAAGUGUAUUAAACUAGGGGAUAAACUAUAGGUCGUUUUUAGGUAAAAACGAAGGGUAUGCGUGAAAAAUCCUAUAGGAUAAUACCAGCUUAUGUAGAGGAAGUGAAUUAAGUUAGGUAAUAAACUGUUUUGUUUUUAGGUAAAGACAAAAGGAUUGAAUGAAUGCUGUAAUAUAAUUAUUUGUGAUGAAUGAGCAGAUUAGAAAGAAGAGGAAGAACAGGCUGUGUGUCUGUGACCAACUGGGAAUGCGCAGGCCUCUCUGACAGUUAACUAAGUGUAAUUUGAGAAAGAGAGCGCAUUUAACUCUCACUGGGAAGAGGAACGAAAUCGAUAAAUAUUGGGCAAGAUAAGUUAUACAUAAGCAUAAAACAUUGACUGGAUAAUGAGUUAAAAGACCAUUGUAAAAAUUACAAUAGGUGUUAAAAAGAGGUAUUAAACAAGGCAUGGAUAGUAUAAAACGGAUGCGAAGUAGGAAGAAAUAACUUAAAAAUAUACAGAUAAACUAAAAUAUACUGGUUAAAAUAAAUCUAGGCAAAAGUGAGAAUUGCAUGAAAAUAGAAGUCUAGAACACAUUAAAAAUAUCACGAGCCCUGUAAACGAAAUAGGAGGCUGCAAUUUAAAAAUAGCCUCAGGAAUUAAACAGUAAAAUAGGCUAAGAGAGAAUAUAGCAAGCGGAUAAAUAAAGAGAUAAGAAAGUGCAGACAUUAUAAAUAAGCUGAAUUAGAAGGAAAAUUAUAUGAAAUAGGAUUUAAUACAUUGAAUAAAGUUAAAGUAAUAGUAUAAGCAAAGAUAAAAACACAGUGAUAUUUGAGGUGCUGUACUAGAAUAAGACAUUAAGGCUUCUGUAGUAUUCAGUAAUACAGUUGUAGACAUUAUAGAGUAGGUUUUAAUAGGAGGUAUUAAGUGAUGUGACUAAUAAAUUAUUAUUUGAGAAAGUAGGGUAGAUCUACCUUGGAAAAUAGUAAAUAAAGUAUAUAAUGCGAUGGGAGAGUUUAGGAAAAAUAAAUAGUGGCAUGGAAACAAAUGGACUGUUUCUCCCGGGAAUAUAGAGAUAGCGAAAUUUAAUAAAGCCAUAGAGUCGCUGAAAGAAGCGCACGUUAAUUCUACCAAUUCGAUUUGAAUAUGAAGGAGCGGUUUGCUACAAUGUAGGGCAACAUUACCCGGUAAACAGGAUAAAUAAAAUAAUGAAUUGGAACGAUCACAUAAAACUAUAACAAGAAGCUUAACUUACCAGCGUUUUAAUGUUAAUUAACAUUAUAUCAUCAGAAAUACAUUACGAUGGGGGAAGUGUAAGAAGUUGUAGAGCAGGGCUAACUAGUGUGGGGGAAAAUUAGUGUAAGAUGACACUGGAAUGCGAUAGCAGAGAAUGCAGAAAUACAGGAAUUUACACCCGUUUUAAAAGAACAACAACUGAUCGUUCUAAGGUUAGUACGAAUGAAGUUUUCACCAAGCGGUGUAUAGUCUCUGAUUAAUCAAAAAGUGGUUCAUAGAGAGUACAGUUUAUGUGAUGAAAUACGUACUAGAUCACGUUUUACCUAACUUAUAGUAAGGUACCGAUGUAAUUUACAAAUAGCCCCACUCGGAGUCGUUUUGCAUUAAAAUGGCGGUUUCAGUGGUGAUAAAAUGCGUGGAGAAGUUGUUAUUAGCGUCAAAAUACGGAAAAUAAACGUAUAUGAAAAAUCACAAGCGUGGUAAAAAUAGUUAGAAGAAAAGCAAAUUGUAGAGUAUGGGUGUAUUCAAUUUCUAAGGGUAGGAUACAGAUGGCCGAGCAGGGGGGAAUUGUGCGUUCUGUGUAUGGCUGGAGCUUCUGUCGCAUGCUCGGGAAAUGUAAGGGGAUUUUAGUAUAUGUAAUACUAUUAGCUUGCUGAUUUAGAGGGUGGCAUGGUGAAUGUUAACGAAAUGUACAUUUCUUUUCCAGAAAAAAAGGGGUUACAUGUUCUCUGGUCAAAAUGUCAUUGGAAACUGUAGUACUGAGGAAAGCAGUUAGAGAUAUUUUGGCCACUAAAAAUCUUAGUAUCUGGUUAAGGCUAUAACUGGAGUUUCGGAUAAGUGAGGCCGGCUCAUGUGUAUUCUUGGCCUAUAUGCGAUAGUGGGUUUCCUUUGGAAGGGUUUUUUCAGUUCAGUUUCAAAUUGGGUAUGCAGAAGGAUGGAAAUGUUUUUGAAAAUGUAUUUGGGUUGUUUCUAAAGAAAGGAGAGUGGAAACAUUUUAAUGGUGUCAAAUGCCCUGAACCCUAAGAAUUUCCCUUGAAGAUUGAUCAACUUCACUAGAAAUUGUUGGAACAAGUGGGAUUUAAUUAUAAAAUGAUUGAGAAACACCAGUCUCUAUUCAAAGUGUACAAUCACUUUGAAAUUCCAUUAUUUCCUUGGGAAAAAGAUGAAGAGUUGUAAUCUUGAAUUGACUAGUUAUUCAAAUAGGUUUAUUUUUAUUUAACAUGGGGUUAUAGGAGAACAUAUCAGUUCCCUGGGGUUAUGGUCUUUGGGUAAAUACAAAAUGUGCUUUGUUCAUGCUACAUAUAAAAUGGAAAUAUAUGUAAACAAGGGAUAACAGUUACUCCAAAUAGGUUAUUGGAGUGGGGGUUUCUGCAAGGGUUAUGAUGAUAACUACAUAAUCUGUAACUCAUCUGAGAGAUCGCUAGUAGAAUAAGGGAGUUAUCAUGGAAAUGUAAUGUCAGACUGCAUUAAUGCUUGGGAGAGACUAUCAUAACACCAAGUGGGUGUGAAACUCAAACCCACCCUACUGGCUGAAUAGUGUGGGACAACUGUGUCUGAUGACCUGUGAACUGUAUCUGGAAUGAUAUGUACUGGGAGAAGAAAGACUAAAGGGGAUUGGGAUAAUGACCUUUUAUUACUAGGCCACUCAUGACAGAAAAACAGAGGUAAAAGGGUGCAUGGUAAAAUAGAUAUUACUGGUACUAAAAGUUUUUAGUAAAAUGUUAAUUAUUAAAGGGAUGAUGAAUUGAAUUGAGAAGGUCAAAUUUGAGUUAAAGUAAGCACUAAGGACUGUUAUUUUGAAUAUUGGGUUGGACAAUUAAUAAACAACAUUUAGUUAUGUUUUGAAUAUAGGACUGUUUAAAUUUACUAGGCCUAGGGAAGCUCUGGAAACUAAUCCUGAGACAGGUUGAUUGACAGAACUUGCAGAAUAUUAAAUUAAAGGUUUUUGUUUCUUUUAUUUUACAAUAUCAUUGUAAUUGGAGUAAUAAGUAAUUUAAUAAAAAGUAUAGUCUGUUGUGUGAUAACACCCAAGGAUGAAGAAGACAUUACAAAUAGUGGUAAUUUAUAGCAAAUAUGCAGUUAUUAUAAUUUACUUUACCAUUUUUCUUGUUUGGUCAAUUUAUUUUUGGUUUGAGGAAAAUAAGAGUGUAUAUUUUUCCUGAGGAGGGACUGAUAUAAAUUGACUAAAAAUGAUUUGAGAAUGUUUAAGUAUGUAUCAAACUAUGGAAGGAAAUUAGAAGUAGUGACUUAUGUGUUAUGGGUUAGAAAAACUGUAACUACAUUGGGGGCUCAUAUGAAGGUUAUGGUAACAAGGGGGGGGUGUUAUUUCUAGAAACAGUGUAUAUUGAUAGACAAGAUAAUUCACAGAAAAGGAAGGACAGUUGGUCUUGUAAAAAUAUAGGGACAAUUCUAAAAGUAGAUAGAACAUUACACACACCUAGAUUAUGGUAAAAGUAAUAAGUAGUGGCAUUUUGAAGAAGCUUAGGACUUAGUUUUGUUAGGAUUGGAUAUUCUUCCAACUAGAAAACACUUGACUGAUUACAUGCAAUUCUUGCAGCAGUUACGGUAGGGACCAUAAUUUGGCUAUCAUUAUGAAUAUUUUUGUGGCAGGAGGCCAGGUAUUUAAGACAGAAUGUUUACAUAGGGCUGUUAUUUAAAAAUUAAGAUUUAGUGAUCCUGCUAUAAGAAGAAAGUCUGUUGUCAGGAAAUAACCCAUGUGUUAGUGUGUAUGUCCUCAGGAAAAAACAGCACAUAAGAGGCCAGAUGGAAGGGCAUAGGCUGAAUUCUGGAGACUGAGUGUACAUCAAGAUACAUCGGGCUGGGGAUAUACUUCUUACAGCACCUGCAGUGGUAAAGAUUGUCAUGUCUCUCUUUGGUGGGUGCAUAAGUCUCACAAGAAGUAAAGUCCAGCUGAAUAAUGGGUGAGCUUGAAAACACCAUGACAGAGGACGUGAAACAAAACAAAAGAGAGAGACUAGAUUCUACUGUAGACAUACUGGGUUGAGUUUGGGGGUUAUUUGUUUUAUUUGAUAAUGUAUCAUGUGAAUAAGGAUAUAUGUUAGGGUAGUUGUACUCUAAACCACAUGUUGAAGGCUCAAUGUGGAAGCCCAUUCCGUGUUGAAUUACUUUAAGAAGCAAUAAUGUUGAUUUAAGGUUAUGCACAUGUUUAUCAGUUGAAACAGAGCAGAUGGGGAACUAAGUAAAAAAUGACAUGGUUUGGGAACACCUCUCAGAACCUGCGGCCGAAAGGGGAAGACUGGAUGAAAGCACGAGGAAGCCAAUUAGGGCCUCCAUUUUUGUGGAGUCCAGCAGAAAAGUAUCCUGGAGGCAUAGAGUCAGGUGAAGAGAGAGUGGGAAUUGUCAUGGUCUCAGAUUUCAGUAUUCAUUAAUACAGUCAUGCAUAACACAUAACAUUGUCAAUACUGUUAUGUUUUGUCCUUUGUUUUCCAAGUCUUAUGUUUAGGAAACCAGAUGGAGAAGUGUUCUCCAGCUUCAGCUGGAAUGUCAGUUUGUGUGAUGAGUGAUGGAAGUAAGAGAAUGUAUGGUGUAAUCAUAGAACAGAGGCCAUAAGUCUCUAAGUAUGAAUGCCCCACAGAAAGAAGGCAGAAAUCUGAACCAGGAUGAGAGGUUCCACAUCUGAUGAUCCAAGGGGACCAGAAGGAUCUCUCCCAGUGAUACCAGGAGAUCGAGUCUACGUUUGAGUGUUCCGAAGGAAGUGGGAUCAGCCGAGGAGGGAAGGACCCUACGAGGUGGCAACAGCCACAAACACGGCCGUCCAAGUGAAAGGAAGCAAGACGUGGUAUCAUCUAAACCACUGCACCCGAGUCCCGACGGAGAGAAGGACACAACCAUACAGAGAUGAGGACACAGAGGAUGCUGAUUCACCAGAAGGGACCCCGGAGGGAGCAGGAGCAGCGGAAUCGAUCAAAGCGCCGGGGAGGAAUCAAGAAAAUGGCAGACCAGAUACAACGAGUGCAUCGGCUAACACACUCAGAAGAACCGACCAGGGAAAAAGAGCCUGAAAAGAAAAGAGACAAACAACCAAAGUUUCCUCCAGUAUGGCCAGAAAGCCCAGAAGUGGGAGGGGGUAACAUGUCUGCCACUCCUGAUGAUAUACUUGUUGGGGCAGGCUUUGUUGACGGAAGCCUUCUACAGUGGGACCCCGAGGUAUCGCCUAAAGAAGGGGAACAUCUCUUCCCUGAAAUGGACGCCUUCCCAGAUGGAAGCCCAGUUCGGGCUGAGGAGGGAACAACAUGCGAAGAGAGUGGAGGAGAAGCCUUAUCAGGAACAACAAGUGAAGAAAGCAGAGGAGAAGCCUUACCAAGAGCAGAAGGAGAAAUCUUGCAAGAUGAAAGAAAUGGGGAUUUCCCCAAAAUUGACUUUUCAGCUCUUGAAUUGUCUCCAUAAUGAACAAUUGAAGUUAGACCCAUAGAAGAACAAUGAUAUUGACAUAACAGAAGUAACAGUGAACGCUAGAAUAGCAACAACAGACUCACGCACAAUCAAGAUGUAGGGUGGAAACAGGAAGAGAAGAGAGGAACCAGUCAAACAAUCUAAAAAGACUGACAAGGUUAGAAUCUCUGUCCCACCUCAACAUAUAACUGAAACAGAAGAAUAGAAGACAAAAGGAUCAAACCCUUACCGGAGAUUGCAUUCGGUGGAUGGACAUAUCAUCGAACGAAGAGAGAAGUCAUUUGGGACUCAAAAGGAUGUGACCUGACGUUAACCAAAGAAGUAGACGAGUGGGUGCUCACCAUGAAUCAGAUUGAACCAGUUGAAGGUGAAGAAUUAAUAGGUGAAAUAAUGAGAACAAGAUUGGCUGAAGGGAGUAGUUCCUCAGUCAUUCAGAAUUGGUCUUACGCCAAUACCUAAACAGGAAGAGCCUGUGGUAGCUAGAAAGCAUCAGAACCAGGAGGGUUCUUUACUGACAUUUUGAACUUUUUGACUAACUGUAAUGACCUACCUCAAGAUAAGAACAUUGCAAAGAUGACAGACACAGACAUACCAGACUCUGAACCACUCAAGGACACCACAUGAAAUGAAUAGUGAAGAAUGAGUGGUACGAUUAGGCUAAGUAUACAGCAGAAAUAAACAUAGGAGGGACAAUUGUAUUUUGUGUAGAAAAUCACCUUUGUCUGAUCUUUUGAUAGUACCUGAACCUGCAUCAUUUGAAGAAUGCGUUAAAUGUAAAAUGUUCAAUAUUCAGAGAAAAUACUACAUUCCCUUGUGUGACAUAGAAUGUAGGAUUGCUCGAGGGAGCACUAGAGGCAGAACCAUAUUAAAUUAGACUGGGUUGGGAGUUCAAGGCAAGAGAUGAAGUUAAAUCUGGAUUUGAAUCUUAAUUUUUGUGGAUAACAUCAAAUAAGAACUUAGAGUGGAUUAAUUACAUAUACUAUAACCAACAGAGAUUCAUUAACUAUACUGACUCGGCUUUAACGGCGUUGGGGGAAUAGGUACAGGAUACCAGUAAAAUGUCUUGCCAAAAUAGACAGGCUCUCAAUUGGCUUUUUGCAGAGAAGGGUGGAGUUUGUUAUGUUCGGGGAUGAUUGUUGCACCUUUAUUCCCAAUAACACUGCGCCUAAUGGAUUCUUUGCUGUCGCUAUGGCUAAACUUAAAGGGUUAAGAAAAGAGGUUAAGAAAAAUGCUGGGGUGGACUCUCAUGUUUGGGAUUGGUUGGACUUAGCAUUGGGGAAAUAGGGAGCCAUGUUUGCUAGGACGGCCUUUAUGCUGGAAGGGGGGUUAUUGGCUCUGGGUAUUGUAUUUUGUUGUGUUUUACCCUGGGUGAAAUCACUUGUGAUCCAGACAACGGUUAAACAGAUGUUUGUAAGUAGAGCUGACACUCCGGUGAUAGUUGAUCCUGUGCCGGGUAGGCCAGGCCACUAUACUGAUGAAAAUGGACAGUUAUGCUGUCAUUCCAAAUUCAUAAGAAAGUCAACUGAUGCAUAUCCACAAAAAGGGUCAUUUCCGUAGUAAGUACAAGAGGUGUUAUGUAAGGUCUACUUUUGCUCACGGCCUUGUGUUUUAGUAUGUUUUGUCAAAUGUUUUUAUAGGUAUAUCAAUGAAUAUAUCUGGUUUCUUUUAAUUAAAAGUUAGUUUUGCCUUCUAAAAUGCUAGGUUAUAUUUAAAAACAUGUAGGUAACAGUGGGAUAUCCCGGUUACAAGUGUCUACGGACCAUGUCCUUAAUCUUCUAACAGAGAUUGGUAUUGAUGGUAUCACGGUUGUUGGAGAGGUGUCUGAGAGGGAGAAUCAUGUGGAAAGCUUAAAUUUAGAAUGAUGUGUCAAUUUUAUUUUGUAACUGCAUGGAGGCCUAGUGUUUUCUCAUAUUCAAUUUAUUAUUUGACUCAUUGCUUUAUUAUAUAUAUUUUUAUUUUUUGCGUAGCUGAGAACCUCAGACAAGGUUAUGUAUUUACAUGCUCAUGCUUUAACAAAAGAUAAUGUAUUAUUUUUUGUUUCUAUACCGAACUAGAUAUUUUACUCUUAUGAAAUACUAGAGAUGUUUGGUGUAGGUGAUUAGGAAGUUUUAUUUUUUAAUUAUUUUUUAUUUUUUUAUUUAAAAAUAUUUUUUUUGAUAAUCGACUGUUGAUAUUAUGUUCCAUAUGUCCUUUUUAAGUUUUUGGUGCUUAUUAAAGCACCAGAGGGGGGUUAUGUGGGAGAAAUUAGGUACAUAUAUGGAUAAAUAUAUUGUCCUAUAUAAUGGCAUUUGCCAUUCUGGUAAGGUACAUUGUCUAUUGUAUAGGACAGGAAGCCAGAGUGGGGCCAUGGGAGAGGGCAACACCUAGGGCAGCUGGACAUACAAAGGUCAGAGGUUAUCUAAGGAGGGGGUCAGCCAAAGGACCAAUUGAUGGAUUACAGACAUCAAUCACAUCACAGGAGACAAGUCUGUUUGAUCUUAGACAACCAUAUGAAGAGAAGGCGACCAGAACAGCUAGGCACCCUAAAGCUAAAGGAGAUGAAAGACACCAAAAGGGACACAUGGAGUUAAUUACAGGGUAUGAACACAGGCCACAGGAAAGGGGAAUGUAUAGUAUUUUUAGUAUAGCUGAGCAUGCUAAAAACAGAAGAGACACAUAGUGUGCUGACCCUAGAUAACACACAAACAGGAGAACGCAUUAAGCUGAGUGAAGGGUCAAAGCAAGGGUCUUGUCACCAUUAGGAUCUAAUGGAAAGCAGAUGGGGGUGUUAUUGGGCUGAACAAGCAGGAAGCACGGAUUGGGAUGUAACUUAAUUUGCAUAUGGGAGGGACUUAUAUGGUAGGUGUAUAACUCAGAGCGAGGGCUCUGAAAAAGUGUGUGUGUUCCGCGGACCGCUCCGGCUUAUGAUACUGUUGUAUUAAAAGUCUAUAUUGAUUUUCACAAAGUUCUUGGUUGUGUCAUAUUUGAACCGAUUUGCCACUACAUAAUUGGCGAGCUUGCCAGGAGAAUUAGGGACUGAAUAACGUUCUUGGCUGGCAGCGGGAUCUUUGGACGAUCUGGGCAAACAAGGGUGGCCACCCAGCUAAGGUAAGACAACAGUGAAAUGUUUGCGUAGAUCGCUUCAGAGAUCCUGCCUCAGCAAGAGGAGCGUCAAGUAGGUCUCUCUCUCUCAAAUUUCCUAAAAACUAUAGAAACGAAAGAACUUUUUGAAAUUCAAUGAAUUUGCAUGCAUGUGUGUAAGCUUGGAAAUUGUAUAAUGAAUGUGCAUGCAUGUCUAGUGAGUAAGUAGGUGGGGGCUGUGAACUUCGCUGGUGUAGGGUGUGUUAUUCUGGCAUGUUGGGGCUGGGAUUGGGCACAGGGUUACAGCUAUCUGCUUAUAAGGUUUGAAUAAAAUAAGUAGUUAUAGAAGUCCUGCGAUACCGCUUCAAAAUAUUUACCAGAAGGUCUGAAUGGGUAGGUUACUUUAUUGAUAAGUAAUCCUGCGAUACCGCUUCAAAAUAUUUAGCUGAAGGACUGAAUGGGUAGGCUACUUUAUUGAUAAGUAGAUAGAUAAACAUUCAUGGCUACCGCUUCAAGGAAAAGGUCUGUACGGAUGAGUAUUUAGAAAAUAAAUACACAUGGCUACCGCUUUGAAAUGAAGGUCUGUACGGGUGAAUAUUUAAAACACAGAAAGAACGCUGGCCUGAUUGUGCGACGUUCAACUGAAAAAGGAAAUCCUGCGAAUAUAAAACGCUCCGUCUAGCUAAACGGGGGUUUAUAAAUCAGUAGGUCGCGCCACGAUAUUGCUCUAACGUAGAAUAAAGAUCAAUACGGGGUGGAUGAAUAGGAUAUGAAGACAAGCUGAUCCGAUUAGACAGUAGUCUCGUCAUGUCGUAAAAAUCCUAUAGGAUAAUACCAGUUUAUGUAGAGGAAGUGUAUUAAACUAGGGGAUAAACUAUAGGUCGUUUUUAGGUAAAAACGAAGGGUAUGCGUGAAAAAUCCUAUAGGAUAAUACCAGCUUAUGUAGAGGAAGUGAAUUAAGUUAGGUAAUAAACUGUUUUGUUUUUAGGUAAAGACAAAAGGAUUGAAUGAAUGCUGUAAUAUAAUUAUUUGUGAUGAAUGAGCAGAUUAGAAAGAAGAGGAAGAACAGGCUGUGUGUCUGUGACCAACUGGGAAUGCGCAGGCCUCUCUGACAGUUAACUAAGUGUAAUUUGAGAAAGAGAGCGCAUUUAACUCUCACUGGGAAGAGGAACGAAAUCGAUAAAUAUUGGGCAAGAUAAGUUAUACAUAAGCAUAAAACAUUGACUGGAUAAUGAGUUAAAAGACCAUUGUAAAAAUUACAAUAGGUGUUAAAAAGAGGUAUUAAACAAGGCAUGGAUAGUAUAAAACGGAUGCGAAGUAGGAAGAAAUAACUUAAAAAUAUACAGAUAAACUAAAAUAUACUGGUUAAAAUAAAUCUAGGCAAAAGUGAGAAUUGCAUGAAAAUAGAAGUCUAGAACACAUUAAAAAUAUCACGAGCCCUGUAAACGAAAUAGGAGGCUGCAAUUUAAAAAUAGCCUCAGGAAUUAAACAGUAAAAUAGGCUAAGAGAGAAUAUAGCAAGCGGAUAAAUAAAGAGAUAAGAAAGUGCAGACAUUAUAAAUAAGCUGAAUUAGAAGGAAAAUUAUAUGAAAUAGGAUUUAAUACAUUGAAUAAAGUUAAAGUAAUAGUAUAAGCAAAGAUAAAAACACAGUGAUAUUUGAGGUGCUGUACUAGAAUAAGACAUUAAGGCUUCUGUAGUAUUCAGUAAUACAGUUGUAGACAUUAUAGAGUAGGUUUUAAUAGGAGGUAUUAAGUGAUGUGACUAAUAAAUUAUUAUUUGAGAAAGUAGGGUAGAUCUACCUUGGAAAAUAGUAAAUAAAGUAUAUAAUGCGAUGGGAGAGUUUAGGAAAAAUAAAUAGUGGCAUGGAAACAAAUGGACUGUUUCUCCCGGGAAUAUAGAGAUAGCGAAAUUUAAUAAAGCCAUAGAGUCGCUGAAAGAAGCGCACGUUAAUUCUACCAAUUCGAUUUGAAUAUGAAGGAGCGGUUUGCUACAAUGUAGGGCAACAUUACCCGGUAAACAGGAUAAAUAAAAUAAUGAAUUGGAACGAUCACAUAAAACUAUAACAAGAAGCUUAACUUACCAGCGUUUUAAUGUUAAUUAACAUUAUAUCAUCAGAAAUACAUUACGAUGGGGGAAGUGUAAGAAGUUGUAGAGCAGGGCUAACUAGUGUGGGGGAAAAUUAGUGUAAGAUGACACUGGAAUGCGAUAGCAGAGAAUGCAGAAAUACAGGAAUUUACACCCGUUUUAAAAGAACAACAACUGAUCGUUCUAAGGUUAGUACGAAUGAAGUUUUCACCAAGCGGUGUAUAGUCUCUGAUUAAUCAAAAAGUGGUUCAUAGAGAGUACAGUUUAUGUGAUGAAAUACGUACUAGAUCACGUUUUACCUAACUUAUAGUAAGGUACCGAUGUAAUUUACAAAUAGCCCCACUCGGAGUCGUUUUGCAUUAAAAUGGCGGUUUCAGUGGUGAUAAAAUGCGUGGAGAAGUUGUUAUUAGCGUCAAAAUACGGAAAAUAAACGUAUAUGAAAAAUCACAAGCGUGGUAAAAAUAGUUAGAAGAAAAGCAAAUUGUAGAGUAUGGGUGUAUUCAAUUUCUAAGGGUAGGAUACAGAUGGCCGAGCAGGGGGGAAUUGUGCGUUCUGUGUAUGGCUGGAGCUUCUGUCGCAUGCUCGGGAAAUGUAAGGGGAUUUUAGUAUAUGUAAUACUAUUAGCUUGCUGAUUUAGAGGGUGGCAUGGUGAAUGUUAACGAAAUGUACAUUUCUUUUCCAGAAAAAAAGGGGUUACAUGUUCUCUGGUCAAAAUGUCAUUGGAAACUGUAGUACUGAGGAAAGCAGUUAGAGAUAUUUUGGCCACUAAAAAUCUUAGUAUCUGGUUAAGGCUAUAACUGGAGUUUCGGAUAAGUGAGGCCGGCUCAUGUGUAUUCUUGGCCUAUAUGCGAUAGUGGGUUUCCUUUGGAAGGGUUUUUUCAGUUCAGUUUCAAAUUGGGUAUGCAGAAGGAUGGAAAUGUUUUUGAAAAUGUAUUUGGGUUGUUUCUAAAGAAAGGAGAGUGGAAACAUUUUAAUGGUGUCAAAUGCCCUGAACCCUAAGAAUUUCCCUUGAAGAUUGAUCAACUUCACUAGAAAUUGUUGGAACAAGUGGGAUUUAAUUAUAAAAUGAUUGAGAAACACCAGUCUCUAUUCAAAGUGUACAAUCACUUUGAAAUUCCAUUAUUUCCUUGGGAAAAAGAUGAAGAGUUGUAAUCUUGAAUUGACUAGUUAUUCAAAUAGGUUUAUUUUUAUUUAACAUGGGGUUAUAGGAGAACAUAUCAGUUCCCUGGGGUUAUGGUCUUUGGGUAAAUACAAAAUGUGCUUUGUUCAUGCUACAUAUAAAAUGGAAAUAUAUGUAAACAAGGGAUAACAGUUACUCCAAAUAGGUUAUUGGAGUGGGGGUUUCUGCAAGGGUUAUGAUGAUAACUACAUAAUCUGUAACUCAUCUGAGAGAUCGCUAGUAGAAUAAGGGAGUUAUCAUGGAAAUGUAAUGUCAGACUGCAUUAAUGCUUGGGAGAGACUAUCAUAACACCAAGUGGGUGUGAAACUCAAACCCACCCUACUGGCUGAAUAGUGUGGGACAACUGUGUCUGAUGACCUGUGAACUGUAUCUGGAAUGAUAUGUACUGGGAGAAGAAAGACUAAAGGGGAUUGGGAUAAUGACCUUUUAUUACUAGGCCACUCAUGACAGAAAAACAGAGGUAAAAGGGUGCAUGGUAAAAUAGAUAUUACUGGUACUAAAAGUUUUUAGUAAAAUGUUAAUUAUUAAAGGGAUGAUGAAUUGAAUUGAGAAGGUCAAAUUUGAGUUAAAGUAAGCACUAAGGACUGUUAUUUUGAAUAUUGGGUUGGACAAUUAAUAAACAACAUUUAGUUAUGUUUUGAAUAUAGGACUGUUUAAAUUUACUAGGCCUAGGGAAGCUCUGGAAACUAAUCCUGAGACAGGUUGAUUGACAGAACUUGCAGAAUAUUAAAUUAAAGGUUUUUGUUUCUUUUAUUUUACAAUAUCAUUGUAAUUGGAGUAAUAAGUAAUUUAAUAAAAAGUAUAGUCUGUUGUGUGAUAACACCCAAGGAUGAAGAAGACAUUACAAAUAGUGGUAAUUUAUAGCAAAUAUGCAGUUAUUAUAAUUUACUUUACCAUUUUUCUUGUUUGGUCAAUUUAUUUUUGGUUUGAGGAAAAUAAGAGUGUAUAUUUUUCCUGAGGAGGGACUGAUAUAAAUUGACUAAAAAUGAUUUGAGAAUGUUUAAGUAUGUAUCAAACUAUGGAAGGAAAUUAGAAGUAGUGACUUAUGUGUUAUGGGUUAGAAAAACUGUAACUACAUUGGGGGCUCAUAUGAAGGUUAUGGUAACAAGGGGGGGGUGUUAUUUCUAGAAACAGUGUAUAUUGAUAGACAAGAUAAUUCACAGAAAAGGAAGGACAGUUGGUCUUGUAAAAAUAUAGGGACAAUUCUAAAAGUAGAUAGAACAUUACACACACCUAGAUUAUGGUAAAAGUAAUAAGUAGUGGCAUUUUGAAGAAGCUUAGGACUUAGUUUUGUUAGGAUUGGAUAUUCUUCCAACUAGAAAACACUUGACUGAUUACAUGCAAUUCUUGCAGCAGUUACGGUAGGGACCAUAAUUUGGCUAUCAUUAUGAAUAUUUUUGUGGCAGGAGGCCAGGUAUUUAAGACAGAAUGUUUACAUAGGGCUGUUAUUUAAAAAUUAAGAUUUAGUGAUCCUGCUAUAAGAAGAAAGUCUGUUGUCAGGAAAUAACCCAUGUGUUAGUGUGUAUGUCCUCAGGAAAAAACAGCACAUAAGAGGCCAGAUGGAAGGGCAUAGGCUGAAUUCUGGAGACUGAGUGUACAUCAAGAUACAUCGGGCUGGGGAUAUACUUCUUACAGCACCUGCAGUGGUAAAGAUUGUCAUGUCUCUCUUUGGUGGGUGCAUAAGUCUCACAAGAAGUAAAGUCCAGCUGAAUAAUGGGUGAGCUUGAAAACACCAUGACAGAGGACGUGAAACAAAACAAAAGAGAGAGACUAGAUUCUACUGUAGACAUACUGGGUUGAGUUUGGGGGUUAUUUGUUUUAUUUGAUAAUGUAUCAUGUGAAUAAGGAUAUAUGUUAGGGUAGUUGUACUCUAAACCACAUGUUGAAGGCUCAAUGUGGAAGCCCAUUCCGUGUUGAAUUACUUUAAGAAGCAAUAAUGUUGAUUUAAGGUUAUGCACAUGUUUAUCAGUUGAAACAGAGCAGAUGGGGAACUAAGUAAAAAAUGACAUGGUUUGGGAACACCUCUCAGAACCUGCGGCCGAAAGGGGAAGACUGGAUGAAAGCACGAGGAAGCCAAUUAGGGCCUCCAUUUUUGUGGAGUCCAGCAGAAAAGUAUCCUGGAGGCAUAGAGUCAGGUGAAGAGAGAGUGGGAAUUGUCAUGGUCUCAGAUUUCAGUAUUCAUUAAUACAGUCAUGCAUAACACAUAACAUUGUCAAUACUGUUAUGUUUUGUCCUUUGUUUUCCAAGUCUUAUGUUUAGGAAACCAGAUGGAGAAGUGUUCUCCAGCUUCAGCUGGAAUGUCAGUUUGUGUGAUGAGUGAUGGAAGUAAGAGAAUGUAUGGUGUAAUCAUAGAACAGAGGCCAUAAGUCUCUAAGUAUGAAUGCCCCACAGAAAGAAGGCAGAAAUCUGAACCAGGAUGAGAGGUUCCACAUCUGAUGAUCCAAGGGGACCAGAAGGAUCUCUCCCAGUGAUACCAGGAGAUCGAGUCUACGUUUGAGUGUUCCGAAGGAAGUGGGAUCAGCCGAGGAGGGAAGGACCCUACGAGGUGGCAACAGCCACAAACACGGCCGUCCAAGUGAAAGGAAGCAAGACGUGGUAUCAUCUAAACCACUGCACCCGAGUCCCGACGGAGAGAAGGACACAACCAUACAGAGAUGAGGACACAGAGGAUGCUGAUUCACCAGAAGGGACCCCGGAGGGAGCAGGAGCAGCGGAAUCGAUCAAAGCGCCGGGGAGGAAUCAAGAAAAUGGCAGACCAGAUACAACGAGUGCAUCGGCUAACACACUCAGAAGAACCGACCAGGGAAAAAGAGCCUGAAAAGAAAAGAGACAAACAACCAAAGUUUCCUCCAGUAUGGCCAGAAAGCCCAGAAGUGGGAGGGGGUAACAUGUCUGCCACUCCUGAUGAUAUACUUGUUGGGGCAGGCUUUGUUGACGGAAGCCUUCUACAGUGGGACCCCGAGGUAUCGCCUAAAGAAGGGGAACAUCUCUUCCCUGAAAUGGACGCCUUCCCAGAUGGAAGCCCAGUUCGGGCUGAGGAGGGAACAACAUGCGAAGAGAGUGGAGGAGAAGCCUUAUCAGGAACAACAAGUGAAGAAAGCAGAGGAGAAGCCUUACCAAGAGCAGAAGGAGAAAUCUUGCAAGAUGAAAGAAAUGGGGAUUUCCCCAAAAUUGACUUUUCAGCUCUUGAAUUGUCUCCAUAAUGAACAAUUGAAGUUAGACCCAUAGAAGAACAAUGAUAUUGACAUAACAGAAGUAACAGUGAACGCUAGAAUAGCAACAACAGACUCACGCACAAUCAAGAUGUAGGGUGGAAACAGGAAGAGAAGAGAGGAACCAGUCAAACAAUCUAAAAAGACUGACAAGGUUAGAAUCUCUGUCCCACCUCAACAUAUAACUGAAACAGAAGAAUAGAAGACAAAAGGAUCAAACCCUUACCGGAGAUUGCAUUCGGUGGAUGGACAUAUCAUCGAACGAAGAGAGAAGUCAUUUGGGACUCAAAAGGAUGUGACCUGACGUUAACCAAAGAAGUAGACGAGUGGGUGCUCACCAUGAAUCAGAUUGAACCAGUUGAAGGUGAAGAAUUAAUAGGUGAAAUAAUGAGAACAAGAUUGGCUGAAGGGAGUAGUUCCUCAGUCAUUCAGAAUUGGUCUUACGCCAAUACCUAAACAGGAAGAGCCUGUGGUAGCUAGAAAGCAUCAGAACCAGGAGGGUUCUUUACUGACAUUUUGAACUUUUUGACUAACUGUAAUGACCUACCUCAAGAUAAGAACAUUGCAAAGAUGACAGACACAGACAUACCAGACUCUGAACCACUCAAGGACACCACAUGAAAUGAAUAGUGAAGAAUGAGUGGUACGAUUAGGCUAAGUAUACAGCAGAAAUAAACAUAGGAGGGACAAUUGUAUUUUGUGUAGAAAAUCACCUUUGUCUGAUCUUUUGAUAGUACCUGAACCUGCAUCAUUUGAAGAAUGCGUUAAAUGUAAAAUGUUCAAUAUUCAGAGAAAAUACUACAUUCCCUUGUGUGACAUAGAAUGUAGGAUUGCUCGAGGGAGCACUAGAGGCAGAACCAUAUUAAAUUAGACUGGGUUGGGAGUUCAAGGCAAGAGAUGAAGUUAAAUCUGGAUUUGAAUCUUAAUUUUUGUGGAUAACAUCAAAUAAGAACUUAGAGUGGAUUAAUUACAUAUACUAUAACCAACAGAGAUUCAUUAACUAUACUGACUCGGCUUUAACGGCGUUGGGGGAAUAGGUACAGGAUACCAGUAAAAUGUCUUGCCAAAAUAGACAGGCUCUCAAUUGGCUUUUUGCAGAGAAGGGUGGAGUUUGUUAUGUUCGGGGAUGAUUGUUGCACCUUUAUUCCCAAUAACACUGCGCCUAAUGGAUUCUUUGCUGUCGCUAUGGCUAAACUUAAAGGGUUAAGAAAAGAGGUUAAGAAAAAUGCUGGGGUGGACUCUCAUGUUUGGGAUUGGUUGGACUUAGCAUUGGGGAAAUAGGGAGCCAUGUUUGCUAGGACGGCCUUUAUGCUGGAAGGGGGGUUAUUGGCUCUGGGUAUUGUAUUUUGUUGUGUUUUACCCUGGGUGAAAUCACUUGUGAUCCAGACAACGGUUAAACAGAUGUUUGUAAGUAGAGCUGACACUCCGGUGAUAGUUGAUCCUGUGCCGGGUAGGCCAGGCCACUAUACUGAUGAAAAUGGACAGUUAUGCUGUCAUUCCAAAUUCAUAAGAAAGUCAACUGAUGCAUAUCCACAAAAAGGGUCAUUUCCGUAGUAAGUACAAGAGGUGUUAUGUAAGGUCUACUUUUGCUCACGGCCUUGUGUUUUAGUAUGUUUUGUCAAAUGUUUUUAUAGGUAUAUCAAUGAAUAUAUCUGGUUUCUUUUAAUUAAAAGUUAGUUUUGCCUUCUAAAAUGCUAGGUUAUAUUUAAAAACAUGUAGGUAACAGUGGGAUAUCCCGGUUACAAGUGUCUACGGACCAUGUCCUUAAUCUUCUAACAGAGAUUGGUAUUGAUGGUAUCACGGUUGUUGGAGAGGUGUCUGAGAGGGAGAAUCAUGUGGAAAGCUUAAAUUUAGAAUGAUGUGUCAAUUUUAUUUUGUAACUGCAUGGAGGCCUAGUGUUUUCUCAUAUUCAAUUUAUUAUUUGACUCAUUGCUUUAUUAUAUAUAUUUUUAUUUUUUGCGUAGCUGAGAACCUCAGACAAGGUUAUGUAUUUACAUGCUCAUGCUUUAACAAAAGAUAAUGUAUUAUUUUUUGUUUCUAUACCGAACUAGAUAUUUUACUCUUAUGAAAUACUAGAGAUGUUUGGUGUAGGUGAUUAGGAAGUUUUAUUUUUUAAUUAUUUUUUAUUUUUUUAUUUAAAAAUAUUUUUUUUGAUAAUCGACUGUUGAUAUUAUGUUCCAUAUGUCCUUUUUAAGUUUUUGGUGCUUAUUAAAGCACCAGAGGGGGGUUAUGUGGGAGAAAUUAGGUACAUAUAUGGAUAAAUAUAUUGUCCUAUAUAAUGGCAUUUGCCAUUCUGGUAAGGUACAUUGUCUAUUGUAUAGGACAGGAAGCCAGAGUGGGGCCAUGGGAGAGGGCAACACCUAGGGCAGCUGGACAUACAAAGGUCAGAGGUUAUCUAAGGAGGGGGUCAGCCAAAGGACCAAUUGAUGGAUUACAGACAUCAAUCACAUCACAGGAGACAAGUCUGUUUGAUCUUAGACAACCAUAUGAAGAGAAGGCGACCAGAACAGCUAGGCACCCUAAAGCUAAAGGAGAUGAAAGACACCAAAAGGGACACAUGGAGUUAAUUACAGGGUAUGAACACAGGCCACAGGAAAGGGGAAUGUAUAGUAUUUUUAGUAUAGCUGAGCAUGCUAAAAACAGAAGAGACACAUAGUGUGCUGACCCUAGAUAACACACAAACAGGAGAACGCAUUAAGCUGAGUGAAGGGUCAAAGCAAGGGUCUUGUCACCAUUAGGAUCUAAUGGAAAGCAGAUGGGGGUGUUAUUGGGCUGAACAAGCAGGAAGCACGGAUUGGGAUGUAACUUAAUUUGCAUAUGGGAGGGACUUAUAUGGUAGGUGUAUAACUCAGAGCGAGGGCUCUGAAAAAGUGUGUGUGUUCCGCGGACCGCUCCGGCUUAUGAUACUGUUGUAUUAAAAGUCUAUAUUGAUUUUCACAAAGUUCUUGGUUGUGUCAUAUUUGAACCGAUUUGCCACUACAUAAUUGGCGAGCUUGCCAGGAGAAUUAGGGACUGAAUAACGUUCUUGGCUGGCAGCGGGAUCUUUGGACGAUCUGGGCAAACAAGGGUGGCCACCCAGCUAAGGUAAGACAACAGUGAAAUGUUUGCGUAGAUCGCUUCAGAGAUCCUGCCUCAGCAAGAGGAGCGUCAAGUAGGUCUCUCUCUCUCAAAUUUCCUAAAAACUAUAGAAACGAAAGAACUUUUUGAAAUUCAAUGAAUUUGCAUGCAUGUGUGUAAGCUUGGAAAUUGUAUAAUGAAUGUGCAUGCAUGUCUAGUGAGUAAGUAGGUGGGGGCUGUGAACUUCGCUGGUGUAGGGUGUGUUAUUCUGGCAUGUUGGGGCUGGGAUUGGGCACAGGGUUACAGCUAUCUGCUUAUAAGGUUUGAAUAAAAUAAGUAGUUAUAGAAGUCCUGCGAUACCGCUUCAAAAUAUUUACCAGAAGGUCUGAAUGGGUAGGUUACUUUAUUGAUAAGUAAUCCUGCGAUACCGCUUCAAAAUAUUUAGCUGAAGGACUGAAUGGGUAGGCUACUUUAUUGAUAAGUAGAUAGAUAAACAUUCAUGGCUACCGCUUCAAGGAAAAGGUCUGUACGGAUGAGUAUUUAGAAAAUAAAUACACAUGGCUACCGCUUUGAAAUGAAGGUCUGUACGGGUGAAUAUUUAAAACACAGAAAGAACGCUGGCCUGAUUGUGCGACGUUCAACUGAAAAAGGAAAUCCUGCGAAUAUAAAACGCUCCGUCUAGCUAAACGGGGGUUUAUAAAUCAGUAGGUCGCGCCACGAUAUUGCUCUAACGUAGAAUAAAGAUCAAUACGGGGUGGAUGAAUAGGAUAUGAAGACAAGCUGAUCCGAUUAGACAGUAGUCUCGUCAUGUCGUAAAAAUCCUAUAGGAUAAUACCAGUUUAUGUAGAGGAAGUGUAUUAAACUAGGGGAUAAACUAUAGGUCGUUUUUAGGUAAAAACGAAGGGUAUGCGUGAAAAAUCCUAUAGGAUAAUACCAGCUUAUGUAGAGGAAGUGAAUUAAGUUAGGUAAUAAACUGUUUUGUUUUUAGGUAAAGACAAAAGGAUUGAAUGAAUGCUGUAAUAUAAUUAUUUGUGAUGAAUGAGCAGAUUAGAAAGAAGAGGAAGAACAGGCUGUGUGUCUGUGACCAACUGGGAAUGCGCAGGCCUCUCUGACAGUUAACUAAGUGUAAUUUGAGAAAGAGAGCGCAUUUAACUCUCACUGGGAAGAGGAACGAAAUCGAUAAAUAUUGGGCAAGAUAAGUUAUACAUAAGCAUAAAACAUUGACUGGAUAAUGAGUUAAAAGACCAUUGUAAAAAUUACAAUAGGUGUUAAAAAGAGGUAUUAAACAAGGCAUGGAUAGUAUAAAACGGAUGCGAAGUAGGAAGAAAUAACUUAAAAAUAUACAGAUAAACUAAAAUAUACUGGUUAAAAUAAAUCUAGGCAAAAGUGAGAAUUGCAUGAAAAUAGAAGUCUAGAACACAUUAAAAAUAUCACGAGCCCUGUAAACGAAAUAGGAGGCUGCAAUUUAAAAAUAGCCUCAGGAAUUAAACAGUAAAAUAGGCUAAGAGAGAAUAUAGCAAGCGGAUAAAUAAAGAGAUAAGAAAGUGCAGACAUUAUAAAUAAGCUGAAUUAGAAGGAAAAUUAUAUGAAAUAGGAUUUAAUACAUUGAAUAAAGUUAAAGUAAUAGUAUAAGCAAAGAUAAAAACACAGUGAUAUUUGAGGUGCUGUACUAGAAUAAGACAUUAAGGCUUCUGUAGUAUUCAGUAAUACAGUUGUAGACAUUAUAGAGUAGGUUUUAAUAGGAGGUAUUAAGUGAUGUGACUAAUAAAUUAUUAUUUGAGAAAGUAGGGUAGAUCUACCUUGGAAAAUAGUAAAUAAAGUAUAUAAUGCGAUGGGAGAGUUUAGGAAAAAUAAAUAGUGGCAUGGAAACAAAUGGACUGUUUCUCCCGGGAAUAUAGAGAUAGCGAAAUUUAAUAAAGCCAUAGAGUCGCUGAAAGAAGCGCACGUUAAUUCUACCAAUUCGAUUUGAAUAUGAAGGAGCGGUUUGCUACAAUGUAGGGCAACAUUACCCGGUAAACAGGAUAAAUAAAAUAAUGAAUUGGAACGAUCACAUAAAACUAUAACAAGAAGCUUAACUUACCAGCGUUUUAAUGUUAAUUAACAUUAUAUCAUCAGAAAUACAUUACGAUGGGGGAAGUGUAAGAAGUUGUAGAGCAGGGCUAACUAGUGUGGGGGAAAAUUAGUGUAAGAUGACACUGGAAUGCGAUAGCAGAGAAUGCAGAAAUACAGGAAUUUACACCCGUUUUAAAAGAACAACAACUGAUCGUUCUAAGGUUAGUACGAAUGAAGUUUUCACCAAGCGGUGUAUAGUCUCUGAUUAAUCAAAAAGUGGUUCAUAGAGAGUACAGUUUAUGUGAUGAAAUACGUACUAGAUCACGUUUUACCUAACUUAUAGUAAGGUACCGAUGUAAUUUACAAAUAGCCCCACUCGGAGUCGUUUUGCAUUAAAAUGGCGGUUUCAGUGGUGAUAAAAUGCGUGGAGAAGUUGUUAUUAGCGUCAAAAUACGGAAAAUAAACGUAUAUGAAAAAUCACAAGCGUGGUAAAAAUAGUUAGAAGAAAAGCAAAUUGUAGAGUAUGGGUGUAUUCAAUUUCUAAGGGUAGGAUACAGAUGGCCGAGCAGGGGGGAAUUGUGCGUUCUGUGUAUGGCUGGAGCUUCUGUCGCAUGCUCGGGAAAUGUAAGGGGAUUUUAGUAUAUGUAAUACUAUUAGCUUGCUGAUUUAGAGGGUGGCAUGGUGAAUGUUAACGAAAUGUACAUUUCUUUUCCAGAAAAAAAGGGGUUACAUGUUCUCUGGUCAAAAUGUCAUUGGAAACUGUAGUACUGAGGAAAGCAGUUAGAGAUAUUUUGGCCACUAAAAAUCUUAGUAUCUGGUUAAGGCUAUAACUGGAGUUUCGGAUAAGUGAGGCCGGCUCAUGUGUAUUCUUGGCCUAUAUGCGAUAGUGGGUUUCCUUUGGAAGGGUUUUUUCAGUUCAGUUUCAAAUUGGGUAUGCAGAAGGAUGGAAAUGUUUUUGAAAAUGUAUUUGGGUUGUUUCUAAAGAAAGGAGAGUGGAAACAUUUUAAUGGUGUCAAAUGCCCUGAACCCUAAGAAUUUCCCUUGAAGAUUGAUCAACUUCACUAGAAAUUGUUGGAACAAGUGGGAUUUAAUUAUAAAAUGAUUGAGAAACACCAGUCUCUAUUCAAAGUGUACAAUCACUUUGAAAUUCCAUUAUUUCCUUGGGAAAAAGAUGAAGAGUUGUAAUCUUGAAUUGACUAGUUAUUCAAAUAGGUUUAUUUUUAUUUAACAUGGGGUUAUAGGAGAACAUAUCAGUUCCCUGGGGUUAUGGUCUUUGGGUAAAUACAAAAUGUGCUUUGUUCAUGCUACAUAUAAAAUGGAAAUAUAUGUAAACAAGGGAUAACAGUUACUCCAAAUAGGUUAUUGGAGUGGGGGUUUCUGCAAGGGUUAUGAUGAUAACUACAUAAUCUGUAACUCAUCUGAGAGAUCGCUAGUAGAAUAAGGGAGUUAUCAUGGAAAUGUAAUGUCAGACUGCAUUAAUGCUUGGGAGAGACUAUCAUAACACCAAGUGGGUGUGAAACUCAAACCCACCCUACUGGCUGAAUAGUGUGGGACAACUGUGUCUGAUGACCUGUGAACUGUAUCUGGAAUGAUAUGUACUGGGAGAAGAAAGACUAAAGGGGAUUGGGAUAAUGACCUUUUAUUACUAGGCCACUCAUGACAGAAAAACAGAGGUAAAAGGGUGCAUGGUAAAAUAGAUAUUACUGGUACUAAAAGUUUUUAGUAAAAUGUUAAUUAUUAAAGGGAUGAUGAAUUGAAUUGAGAAGGUCAAAUUUGAGUUAAAGUAAGCACUAAGGACUGUUAUUUUGAAUAUUGGGUUGGACAAUUAAUAAACAACAUUUAGUUAUGUUUUGAAUAUAGGACUGUUUAAAUUUACUAGGCCUAGGGAAGCUCUGGAAACUAAUCCUGAGACAGGUUGAUUGACAGAACUUGCAGAAUAUUAAAUUAAAGGUUUUUGUUUCUUUUAUUUUACAAUAUCAUUGUAAUUGGAGUAAUAAGUAAUUUAAUAAAAAGUAUAGUCUGUUGUGUGAUAACACCCAAGGAUGAAGAAGACAUUACAAAUAGUGGUAAUUUAUAGCAAAUAUGCAGUUAUUAUAAUUUACUUUACCAUUUUUCUUGUUUGGUCAAUUUAUUUUUGGUUUGAGGAAAAUAAGAGUGUAUAUUUUUCCUGAGGAGGGACUGAUAUAAAUUGACUAAAAAUGAUUUGAGAAUGUUUAAGUAUGUAUCAAACUAUGGAAGGAAAUUAGAAGUAGUGACUUAUGUGUUAUGGGUUAGAAAAACUGUAACUACAUUGGGGGCUCAUAUGAAGGUUAUGGUAACAAGGGGGGGGUGUUAUUUCUAGAAACAGUGUAUAUUGAUAGACAAGAUAAUUCACAGAAAAGGAAGGACAGUUGGUCUUGUAAAAAUAUAGGGACAAUUCUAAAAGUAGAUAGAACAUUACACACACCUAGAUUAUGGUAAAAGUAAUAAGUAGUGGCAUUUUGAAGAAGCUUAGGACUUAGUUUUGUUAGGAUUGGAUAUUCUUCCAACUAGAAAACACUUGACUGAUUACAUGCAAUUCUUGCAGCAGUUACGGUAGGGACCAUAAUUUGGCUAUCAUUAUGAAUAUUUUUGUGGCAGGAGGCCAGGUAUUUAAGACAGAAUGUUUACAUAGGGCUGUUAUUUAAAAAUUAAGAUUUAGUGAUCCUGCUAUAAGAAGAAAGUCUGUUGUCAGGAAAUAACCCAUGUGUUAGUGUGUAUGUCCUCAGGAAAAAACAGCACAUAAGAGGCCAGAUGGAAGGGCAUAGGCUGAAUUCUGGAGACUGAGUGUACAUCAAGAUACAUCGGGCUGGGGAUAUACUUCUUACAGCACCUGCAGUGGUAAAGAUUGUCAUGUCUCUCUUUGGUGGGUGCAUAAGUCUCACAAGAAGUAAAGUCCAGCUGAAUAAUGGGUGAGCUUGAAAACACCAUGACAGAGGACGUGAAACAAAACAAAAGAGAGAGACUAGAUUCUACUGUAGACAUACUGGGUUGAGUUUGGGGGUUAUUUGUUUUAUUUGAUAAUGUAUCAUGUGAAUAAGGAUAUAUGUUAGGGUAGUUGUACUCUAAACCACAUGUUGAAGGCUCAAUGUGGAAGCCCAUUCCGUGUUGAAUUACUUUAAGAAGCAAUAAUGUUGAUUUAAGGUUAUGCACAUGUUUAUCAGUUGAAACAGAGCAGAUGGGGAACUAAGUAAAAAAUGACAUGGUUUGGGAACACCUCUCAGAACCUGCGGCCGAAAGGGGAAGACUGGAUGAAAGCACGAGGAAGCCAAUUAGGGCCUCCAUUUUUGUGGAGUCCAGCAGAAAAGUAUCCUGGAGGCAUAGAGUCAGGUGAAGAGAGAGUGGGAAUUGUCAUGGUCUCAGAUUUCAGUAUUCAUUAAUACAGUCAUGCAUAACACAUAACAUUGUCAAUACUGUUAUGUUUUGUCCUUUGUUUUCCAAGUCUUAUGUUUAGGAAACCAGAUGGAGAAGUGUUCUCCAGCUUCAGCUGGAAUGUCAGUUUGUGUGAUGAGUGAUGGAAGUAAGAGAAUGUAUGGUGUAAUCAUAGAACAGAGGCCAUAAGUCUCUAAGUAUGAAUGCCCCACAGAAAGAAGGCAGAAAUCUGAACCAGGAUGAGAGGUUCCACAUCUGAUGAUCCAAGGGGACCAGAAGGAUCUCUCCCAGUGAUACCAGGAGAUCGAGUCUACGUUUGAGUGUUCCGAAGGAAGUGGGAUCAGCCGAGGAGGGAAGGACCCUACGAGGUGGCAACAGCCACAAACACGGCCGUCCAAGUGAAAGGAAGCAAGACGUGGUAUCAUCUAAACCACUGCACCCGAGUCCCGACGGAGAGAAGGACACAACCAUACAGAGAUGAGGACACAGAGGAUGCUGAUUCACCAGAAGGGACCCCGGAGGGAGCAGGAGCAGCGGAAUCGAUCAAAGCGCCGGGGAGGAAUCAAGAAAAUGGCAGACCAGAUACAACGAGUGCAUCGGCUAACACACUCAGAAGAACCGACCAGGGAAAAAGAGCCUGAAAAGAAAAGAGACAAACAACCAAAGUUUCCUCCAGUAUGGCCAGAAAGCCCAGAAGUGGGAGGGGGUAACAUGUCUGCCACUCCUGAUGAUAUACUUGUUGGGGCAGGCUUUGUUGACGGAAGCCUUCUACAGUGGGACCCCGAGGUAUCGCCUAAAGAAGGGGAACAUCUCUUCCCUGAAAUGGACGCCUUCCCAGAUGGAAGCCCAGUUCGGGCUGAGGAGGGAACAACAUGCGAAGAGAGUGGAGGAGAAGCCUUAUCAGGAACAACAAGUGAAGAAAGCAGAGGAGAAGCCUUACCAAGAGCAGAAGGAGAAAUCUUGCAAGAUGAAAGAAAUGGGGAUUUCCCCAAAAUUGACUUUUCAGCUCUUGAAUUGUCUCCAUAAUGAACAAUUGAAGUUAGACCCAUAGAAGAACAAUGAUAUUGACAUAACAGAAGUAACAGUGAACGCUAGAAUAGCAACAACAGACUCACGCACAAUCAAGAUGUAGGGUGGAAACAGGAAGAGAAGAGAGGAACCAGUCAAACAAUCUAAAAAGACUGACAAGGUUAGAAUCUCUGUCCCACCUCAACAUAUAACUGAAACAGAAGAAUAGAAGACAAAAGGAUCAAACCCUUACCGGAGAUUGCAUUCGGUGGAUGGACAUAUAAUCGAACGAAGAGAGAAGUCAUUUGGGACUCAAAAGGAUGUGACCUGACGUUAACCAAAGAAGUAGACGAGUGGGUGCUCACCAUGAAUCAGAUUGAACCAGUUGAAGGUGAAGAAUUAAUAGGUGAAAUAAUGAGAACAAGAUUGGCUGAAGGGAGUAGUUCCUCAGUCAUUCAGAAUUGGUCUUACGCCAAUACCUAAACAGGAAGAGCCUGUGGUAGCUAGAAAGCAUCAGAACCAGGAGGGUUCUUUACUGACAUUUUGAACUUUUUGACUAACUUUAAUGACCUACCUCAAGAUAAGAACAUUGCAAAGAUGACAGACACAGACAUACCAGACUCUGAACCACUCAAGGACACCACAUGAAAUGAAUAGUGAAGAAUGAGUGGUACGAUUAGGCUAAGUAUACAGCAGAAAUAAACAUAGGAGGGACAAUUGUAUUUUGUGUAGAAAAUCACCUUUGUCUGAUCUUUUGAUAGUACCUGAACCUGCAUCAUUUGAAGAAUGCGUUAAAUGUAAAAUGUUCAAUAUUCAGAGAAAAUACUACAUUCCCUUGUGUGACAUAGAAUGUAGGAUUGCUCGAGGGAGCACUAGAGGCAGAACCAUAUUAAAUUAGACUGGGUUGGGAGUUCAAGGCAAGAGAUGAAGUUAAAUCUGGAUUUGAAUCUUAAUUUUUGUGGAUAACAUCAAAUAAGAACUUAGAGUGGAUUAAUUACAUAUACUAUAACCAACAGAGAUUCAUUAACUAUACUGACUCGGCUUUAACGGCGUUGGGGGAAUAGGUACAGGAUACCAGUAAAAUGUCUUGCCAAAAUAGACAGGCUCUCAAUUGGCUUUUUGCAGAGAAGGGUGGAGUUUGUUAUGUUCGGGGAUGAUUGUUGCACCUUUAUUCCCAAUAACACUGCGCCUAAUGGAUUCUUUGCUGUCGCUAUGGCUAAACUUAAAGGGUUAAGAAAAGAGGUUAAGAAAAAUGCUGGGGUGGACUCUCAUGUUUGGGAUUGGUUGGACUUAGCAUUGGGGAAAUAGGGAGCCAUGUUUGCUAGGACGGCCUUUAUGCUGGAAGGGGGGUUAUUGGCUCUGGGUAUUGUAUUUUGUUGUGUUUUACCCUGGGUGAAAUCACUUGUGAUCCAGACAACGGUUAAACAGAUGUUUGUAAGUAGAGCUGACACUCCGGUGAUAGUUGAUCCUGUGCCGGGUAGGCCAGGCCACUAUACUGAUGAAAAUGGACAGUUAUGCUGUCAUUCCAAAUUCAUAAGAAAGUCAACUGAUGCAUAUCCACAAAAAGGGUCAUUUCCGUAGUAAGUACAAGAGGUGUUAUGUAAGGUCUACUUUUGCUCACGGCCUUGUGUUUUAGUAUGUUUUGUCAAAUGUUUUUAUAGGUAUAUCAAUGAAUAUAUCUGGUUUCUUUUAAUUAAAAGUUAGUUUUGCCUUCUAAAAUGCUAGGUUAUAUUUAAAAACAUGUAGGUAACAGUGGGAUAUCCCGGUUACAAGUGUCUACGGACCAUGUCCUUAAUCUUCUAACAGAGAUUGGUAUUGAUGGUAUCACGGUUGUUGGAGAGGUGUCUGAGAGGGAGAAUCAUGUGGAAAGCUUAAAUUUAGAAUGAUGUGUCAAUUUUAUUUUGUAACUGCAUGGAGGCCUAGUGUUUUCUCAUAUUCAAUUUAUUAUUUGACUCAUUGCUUUAUUAUAUAUAUUUUUAUUUUUUGCGUAGCUGAGAACCUCAGACAAGGUUAUGUAUUUACAUGCUCAUGCUUUAACAAAAGAUAAUGUAUUAUUUUUUGUUUCUAUACCGAACUAGAUAUUUUACUCUUAUGAAAUACUAGAGAUGUUUGGUGUAGGUGAUUAGGAAGUUUUAUUUUUUAAUUAUUUUUUAUUUUUUUAUUUAAAAAUAUUUUUUUUGAUAAUCGACUGUUGAUAUUAUGUUCCAUAUGUCCUUUUUAAGUUUUUGGUGCUUAUUAAAGCACCAGAGGGGGGUUAUGUGGGAGAAAUUAGGUACAUAUAUGGAUAAAUAUAUUGUCCUAUAUAAUGGCAUUUGCCAUUCUGGUAAGGUACAUUGUCUAUUGUAUAGGACAGGAAGCCAGAGUGGGGCCAUGGGAGAGGGCAACACCUAGGGCAGCUGGACAUACAAAGGUCAGAGGUUAUCUAAGGAGGGGGUCAGCCAAAGGACCAAUUGAUGGAUUACAGACAUCAAUCACAUCACAGGAGACAAGUCUGUUUGAUCUUAGACAACCAUAUGAAGAGAAGGCGACCAGAACAGCUAGGCACCCUAAAGCUAAAGGAGAUGAAAGACACCAAAAGGGACACAUGGAGUUAAUUACAGGGUAUGAACACAGGCCACAGGAAAGGGGAAUGUAUAGUAUUUUUAGUAUAGCUGAGCAUGCUAAAAACAGAAGAGACACAUAGUCUGCUGACCCUAGAUAACACACAAACAGGAGAACGCAUUAAGCUGAGUGAAGGGUCAAAGCAAGGGUCUUGUCACCAUUAGGAUCUAAUGGAAAGCAGAUGGGGGUGUUAUUGGGCUGAACAAGCAGGAAGCACGGAUUGGGAUGUAACUUAAUUUGCAUAUGGGAGGGACUUAUAUGGUAGGUGUAUAACUCAGAGCGAGGGCUCUGAAAAAGUGUGUGUGUUCCGCGGACCGCUCCGGCUUAUGAUACUGUUGUAUUAAAAGUCUAUAUUGAUUUUCACAAA